Molecule: ribosomal RNA, 301 nt
Filed under: uncultured bacterium
Lineage: Bacteria
Description: partial 16S ribosomal RNA
Rfam family: Bacterial small subunit ribosomal RNA
Source: RNAcentral
CAGUAGCCGCUGGAAAACGUAGGGUGCAAGCGUUAAUCGGAAUUACUGGGCGUAAAGCGUGCGCAGGCGGUUAUAUAAGACAGAUGUGAAAUCCCCGGGCUCAACCUGGGAACUGCAUUUGUGACUGUAUAGCUAGAGUACGGCAGAGGGGGAUGGAAUUCCGCGUGUAGCAGUGAAAUGCGUAGAUAUGCGGAGGAACACCGAUGGCGAAGGCAAUCCCCUGGGCCUGUACUGACGCUCAUGCACGAAAGCGUGGGGAGCAAACAGGAUUAGAUACCCCCGUAGUCCCUGUCUCUUAUAC